This is a long non-coding RNA of Patiria miniata (bat star), 328 nucleotides long. RefSeq lists it as uncharacterized. The record is from RefSeq and is a predicted model, not a curated record. NCBI's taxonomy places the organism in Eukaryota, Metazoa, Echinodermata, Asteroidea, Valvatida, Asterinidae. The transcript has 3 exons.
CAGUGAUCUUCCUGACCUCACCAGACAGUUUUUUUGUGGUCUGUUUCAAGUCGAUCAUUAGGCUCUGUGAAUGACUGCUGAAUCUACGAGAUCUGUUGGAAAAGGAAGACCUGGGGACGCGUAUCGGCAAAUUAUCAACUCACAUUGAUGAGAUCAAGGGUGAAAUCUACCACGCCGUACACGAGAAGUAUGCCAACUACAGACCCACCAGGGACUCCACCCAGGAGCUACACAACAAGGUGCAGACACUGUCCACUGAGAUGCAGACUCUCAGCAAUAAGAUCAAGGUCUUGACCCACAAGAUAACCAUUCCACCAGCACCUCUGAC